Molecule: ribosomal RNA, 468 nt
Filed under: uncultured bacterium
Lineage: Bacteria
Description: partial 16S ribosomal RNA
Rfam family: Bacterial small subunit ribosomal RNA
Source: RNAcentral
GACGAACGCUGGCGGCGUGCUUAACACAUGCAAGUCGAACGGAAAGGCCCUGCUUUUGUGGGGUGCUCGAGUGGCGAACGGGUGAGUAACACGUGAGUAACCUGCCCUUGACUUUGGGAUAACUUCAGGAAACUGGGGCUAAUACCGGAUAGGAGCUCCUGCUGCAUGGUGGGGGUUGGAAUGUUUCGGCGGUUGGGGAUGGACUCGCGGCCUAUCAGCUUGUUGGUGGGGUAGUGGCUUACCAAGGCUUUGACGGGUAGCCGGCCUGAGAGGGUGACCGGCCACAUUGGGACUGAGAUACGGCCCAGACUCCUACGGGAGGCAGCAGUGGGGAAUAUUGCACAAUGGGCGGAAGCCUGAUGCAGCAACGCCGCGUGCGGGAUGACGGCCUUCGGGUUGUAAACCGCUUUCGCCUGUGACGAAGCGUGAGUGACGGUAGUGGGUAAAGAGGCACCGGCUAACUACGUG